RNAcentral lists this transfer RNA (104 nucleotides) under Candidatus Woesearchaeota archaeon. Its description in RNAcentral is "tRNA-Asp". The record is from RNAcentral. Lineage: Archaea; Nanobdellati; Candidatus Woesearchaeota.
GCCCUGGUGGUCUAGCGGCCUAUGAUGGGGCCCUGUCGAGGCCCCGACCCGGGUUCAAAACGAUGGGAACAAGAUGUCCCGACGUGACUUUCCCGGCCAGGGCG